RNAcentral lists this signal recognition particle RNA (299 nucleotides) under Cebus imitator (Panamanian white-faced capuchin). RNAcentral's name for it is "Metazoan signal recognition particle RNA (ENSCCAG00000006537.1)". It matches the Rfam family "Metazoan signal recognition particle RNA". Rfam says of the family: The signal recognition particle (SRP) is a universally conserved ribonucleoprotein. The record is from RNAcentral. Lineage: Eukaryota; Metazoa; Chordata; Mammalia; Primates; Cebidae.
GCUGGGUGCCGUGGUAUGUGCCUGUAGUCCCAGCUACUCAGGAGGCUAAGGCUGGAGGAUCGCUUGAGUCCAGGAGUUCUGGGCGGUAGUGCGCUAUGCCAAUCGGGUGUCUGCAGUAAGUUCGGCAUCAAUAUGGUGACCUCCUGGGAGUAGGGGACCACCAGGUUGCCUAAGAAAGGGUGAACCGGCCCAGGUCAGAAAUGGAGCAGGUCAAAACUCCUGUGCUGAUCAGUAGUGGGAUCGCGCCUGCGAAUAGCCACUGCACUCCAGCCUGGGCAACAUAGUGAGACCCUGCCUGU